CUACGUAGGGGGCAAGCGUUAUCCGGAAUUAUUGGGCGUAAAGCGUGCGUAGGUGGUUACCUAAGCGCAAGGUUUAAUCUUGAGGCUCAACCUCAUUCUGCCUUGCGAACUGGGCUACUUGAGUGCUGGAUGGGAAAGCGGAAUUCCUAGUGUAGCGGUGAAAUGCGUAGAUAUUAGGAAGAACACCGGUGGCGAAGGCGGCUUUCUGGACAGUAACUGACACUGAGGCACGAAAGCGUGGGGAGCAAACAGGAUUAGAUACCCUGGUAGUCCACGCCGUAAACGAUGAGCACUAGUUGUUGGGUCCGAAUGGAUUCAGUGACGCAGUUAACGCAAUAAGUGCUCCGCCUGGGGAGUACGGUGGCAACACUAAAACUUAAAGGAAUUGACGGGG
This 394-nucleotide ribosomal RNA is filed under the name uncultured bacterium. Its description in RNAcentral is "partial 16S ribosomal RNA". It matches the Rfam family "Bacterial small subunit ribosomal RNA", at positions 523 to 918 of the family's 1533-position model. The record is from RNAcentral.